RNAcentral lists this ribosomal RNA (421 nucleotides) under Selenomonas sp. oral taxon C23. RNAcentral describes it as "bacterial SSU rRNA". It matches the Rfam family "Bacterial small subunit ribosomal RNA", at positions 28 to 423 of the family's 1533-position model. The record is from RNAcentral. Lineage: Bacteria; Bacillati; Bacillota; Negativicutes; Selenomonadales; Selenomonadaceae.
GACGAACGCUGGCGGCGUGCUUAACACAUGCAAGUCGAACGGGAACCUUUAUUUCGGUAAAGGUGAGAGUGGCAAACGGGUGAGUAACACGUAGGCAACCUGCCGACAGGAUGGGGACAACAUUCCGAAAGGAAUGCUAAUACCGAAUGGAGUCCGGGGAUGGCAUCAUCCCUGGAUAAAAGAUGGCCUCUGAAUAUGCUAUCGCCUGUCGAUGGGCCUGCGUCUGAUUAGCCAGUUGGCGGGGUAACGGCCCACCAAAGCGACGAUCAGUAGCCGGUCUGAGAGGAUGAACGGCCACAUUGGGACUGAGACACGGCCCAGACUCCUACGGGAGGCAGCAGUGGGGAAUCUUCCACAAACGGGGCGAAAGCCCUGAUGGGAGCAAACGCCCGCGUGAAGUGAAAGAAAGGGUCUUUCGGGA